UGGGGGCACUGGGACGUAUGG
Molecule: microRNA, 21 nt
Filed under: Gallus gallus (chicken)
Lineage: Eukaryota; Metazoa; Chordata; Aves; Galliformes; Phasianidae
Description: gga-miR-12284-5p
Source: miRBase by way of RNAcentral